UGAAUACUCCCUCCGUCCUAAAAUUCUUGUCUUAGGUUUGUCUAGAUAUUAAUAUAUCUAAUCACGUUUUAAUAUUUUAAUACAUUCAUUUCUAGACAAACCUAAAACAAAAAUUUUGAAAUGGAGGGAGUACAUU
This is a non-coding RNA of Hordeum vulgare subsp. vulgare (domesticated barley), 136 nucleotides long. The record is from Rfam. Lineage: Eukaryota; Viridiplantae; Streptophyta; Magnoliopsida; Poales; Poaceae.